RNAcentral lists this ribosomal RNA (1510 nucleotides) under Helicobacter pylori. RNAcentral's name for it is "bacterial SSU rRNA". It matches the Rfam family "Bacterial small subunit ribosomal RNA". Lineage: Bacteria; Pseudomonadati; Campylobacterota; Epsilonproteobacteria; Campylobacterales; Helicobacteraceae. The record is from RNAcentral.
UUUUAUGGAGAGUUUGAUCCUGGCUCAGAGUGAACGCUGGCGGCGUGCCUAAUACAUGCAAGUCGAACGAUGAAGCUUCUAGCUUGCUAGAGUGCUGAUUAGUGGCGCACGGGUGAGUAACGCAUAGGUCAUGUGCCUCUUAGUUUGGGAUAGCCAUUGGAAACGAUGAUUAAUACCAGAUACUCCCUACGGGGGAAAGAUUUAUCGCUAAGAGAUCAGCCUAUGUCCUAUCAGCUUGUUGGUAAGGUAAUGGCUUACCAAGGCUAUGACGGGUAUCCGGCCUGAGAGGGUGAACGGACACACUGGAACUGAGACACGGUCCAGACUCCUACGGGAGGCAGCAGUAGGGAAUAUUGCUCAAUGGGGGAAACCCUGAAGCAGCAACGCCGCGUGGAGGAUGAAGGUUUUAGGAUUGUAAACUCCUUUUGUUAGAGAAGAUAAUGACGGUAUCUAACGAAUAAGCACCGGCUAACUCCGUGCCAGCAGCCGCGGUAAUACGGAGGGUGCAAGCGUUACUCGGAAUCACUGGGCGUAAAGAGCGCGUAGGCGGGAUAGUCAGUCAGGUGUGAAAUCCUAUGGCUUAACCAUAGAACUGCAUUUGAAACUACUAUUCUAGAGUGUGGGAGAGGUAGGUGGAAUUCUUGGUGUAGGGGUAAAAUCCGUAGAGAUCAAGAGGAAUACUCAUUGCGAAGGCGACCUGCUGGAACAUUACUGACGCUGAUUGCGCGAAAGCGUGGGGAGCAAACAGGAUUAGAUACCCUGGUAGUCCACGCCCUAAACGAUGGAUGCUAGUUGUUGGAGGGCUUAGUCUCUCCAGUAAUGCAGCUAACGCAUUAAGCAUCCCGCCUGGGGAGUACGGUCGCAAGAUUAAAACUCAAAGGAAUAGACGGGGACCCGCACAAGCGGUGGAGCAUGUGGUUUAAUUCGAAGAUACACGAAGAACCUUACCUAGGCUUGACAUUGAGAGAAUCCGCUAGAAAUAGUGGAGUGUCUAGCUUGCUAGACCUUGAAAACAGGUGCUGCACGGCUGUCGUCAGCUCGUGUCGUGAGAUGUUGGGUUAAGUCCCGCAACGAGCGCAACCCCCUUUCUUAGUUGCUAACAGGUCAUGCUGAGAACUCUAAGGAUACUGCCUCCGUAAGGAGGAGGAAGGUGGGGACGACGUCAAGUCAUCAUGGCCCUUACGCCUAGGGCUACACACGUGCUACAAUGGGGUGCACAAAGAGAAGCAAUACUGCGAAGUGGAGCCAAUCUUCAAAACACCUCUCAGUUCGGAUUGUAGGCUGCAACUCGCCUGCAUGAAGCUGGAAUCGCUAGUAAUCGCAAAUCAGCCAUGUUGCGGUGAAUACGUUCCCGGGUCUUGUACUCACCGCCCGUCACACCAUGGGAGUUGUGUUUGCCUUAAGUCAGGAUGCUAAAUUGGCUACUGCCCACGGCACACACAGCGACUGGGGUGAAGUCGUAACAAGGUAACCGUAGGUGAACCUGCGGUUGGAUCACCUCCUUUCUAGA